This 334-nucleotide ribosomal RNA is filed under the name uncultured eukaryote. Its description in RNAcentral is "partial 18S ribosomal RNA". It matches the Rfam family "Eukaryotic small subunit ribosomal RNA", at positions 1470 to 1796 of the family's 1831-position model. The record is from RNAcentral.
CCCUUAGAUGUCCGGGGCCGCACGCGCGCUACACUGAAGGAAUCAGCGUGGCUUUCUCCCUGACCCGAAAGGGUUGGGAAACCCGUUGAAUCUCCUUCGUGAUAGGGAUUGGGGCUUGAAAUUGUUCCCCAUGAACGAGGAAUUCCCAGUAAGCGCGAGUCAUAAGCUCGCGUUGAUUACGUCCCUGCCCUUUGUACACACCGCCCGUCGCUACUACCGAUUGAACGGUUUAGUGAGGGCCUCGGAUUGGUCUCGGCCCGCUCUUUACCGGGCGGCGCCGUUGGUCGAGAAGACGCUCGAACUUGAUCGUUUAGAGGAAGUAAAAGUCUUAACA